Molecule: ribosomal RNA, 253 nt
Filed under: uncultured bacterium
Lineage: Bacteria
Description: partial 16S ribosomal RNA
Rfam family: Bacterial small subunit ribosomal RNA
Source: RNAcentral
CACGUAGGGCGCAAGCGUUGUCCGGAAUUAUUGGGCGUAAAGAGCUCGUAGGCGGUCUGUUGCGUCUGCUGUGAAAACUCGGGGCUUAACCCCGAGCCUGCAGUGGAUACGGGCAGACUAGAGGUAGGUAGGGGAGAAUGGAAUUCCCGGUGUAGCGGUGAAAUGCGCAGAUAUCGGGAGGAACACCUAUGGCGAAGGCAGCUCGCUGGGACGGUACUGACGCUGAGGCGCGAAAGCGUGGGGAGCGAACGGG